RNAcentral lists this ribosomal RNA (494 nucleotides) under uncultured bacterium. RNAcentral's name for it is "partial 16S ribosomal RNA". It matches the Rfam family "Bacterial small subunit ribosomal RNA", at positions 28 to 507 of the family's 1533-position model. The record is from RNAcentral.
GACGAACGCUGGCGGCGUGCUUAACACAUGCGAGUCGAACGGAAAGGCCUGCUUUCCCUUGUGGAUUGCGGGUACUCGAGUGGCGAACGGGUGAGUAACACGUGAGUGAUCUGCCCCCAACUUGGGUAUAAGCCUGGGAAACUGGGUCUAAUUCCCGAUAGGACUGCAGGGUGGUGCCUGUGGUGGAAAACGAUUUUCUAGUGGUUGGGGAUGAGCUCGCGGCCUAUCAGCUUGUUGGUGGGGUAAUGGCCUACCAAGGCGGCGACGGGUAGCCGGCCUGAGAGGGUGGACGGCCACAUUGGGACUGAGAUACGGCCCAGACUCCUACGGGAGGCAGCAGUGGGGAAUAUUGCACAAUGGGCGGAAGCCCGAUGCAGCGACGCCGCGUGGGGGAUGACGGCCUUCGGGUUGUAAACUCCUUUCGACCGCGAGGAAGCCACCUGGUUGGAAGGGUGGUGACGGUAGUGGUAGAAGAAGCACCGGCUAACUACGUG